RNAcentral lists this ribosomal RNA (324 nucleotides) under uncultured Chloroflexota bacterium. RNAcentral describes it as "bacterial SSU rRNA". It matches the Rfam family "Bacterial small subunit ribosomal RNA", at positions 28 to 351 of the family's 1533-position model. The record is from RNAcentral. Lineage: Bacteria; Bacillati; Chloroflexota.
GAUGAACGCUGGCGGCGUGCCUAAUGCAUGCAAGUCGAACGGAGAGUGUAGCAAUAUGCUCUUAGUGGCGAACGGGUGAGUAACGCGUUGGUGACCUGCCCCGAAGUGUGGGAUAACAGUUCGAAAGGAUUGCUAAUACCGCAUAUGACCUUUGAGAUUAGACGCUCGAAGAUUAAAGGACUUCGGUCCGCUACGGGAGGGGCCUGCGUCCCAUCAGCUAGUUGGUAGGGUAAUGGCUUACCAAGGCUAUGACGGGUAGGGGACCUGAGAGGGUGACCCCCCACAAUGGAACUGAAACACGGUCCAUACACCUACGGGUGGCUG